This 84-nucleotide ribosomal RNA is filed under the name Nelumbo nucifera (sacred lotus). The record is from RNAcentral. Lineage: Eukaryota; Viridiplantae; Streptophyta; Magnoliopsida; Proteales; Nelumbonaceae.
AUCCCAUCAGAACUCCGAAGUUAAGCGUGCUUGGGCGAGAGUAGUACUAGGAUGGGUGACCUGGGAAGUCCUCGUGUUGCACCC